AAUGGGCGAAAGCCUGACGCAGCAACGCCGCGUGGGUGACGAAGGCCUUCGGGUUGUAAAGCCCUGUCAGAUGGGAAGAACGGUUCGGUUAACAGCCGAAAUUGACGGUACCAUCAAAGGAAGCACUGGCUAACUCCGUGCCAGCAGCCGCGGUAAUACGGAGAGUGCAAGCGUUGUUCGGAAUCAUUGGGCGUAAAGCGCGUGUAGGCGGUUUUUUAAGUCUGAUGUGAAAGCCCUCGGCUUAACCGAGGAAGUGCAUCGGAUACUGGAAGACUUGAGUACGGGAGAGGAAAGUGGAAUUCCCAGUGUAGAGGUGAAAUUCGUAGAUAUUGGGAGGAACACCAGUGGCGAAGGCGGCUUUCUGGACCGAUACUGACGCUGAGACGCGAAAGCGUGGGUAGCAAA
This 405-nucleotide ribosomal RNA is filed under the name uncultured bacterium. RNAcentral's name for it is "bacterial SSU rRNA". It matches the Rfam family "Bacterial small subunit ribosomal RNA", at positions 370 to 772 of the family's 1533-position model. The record is from RNAcentral.